This 826-nucleotide ribosomal RNA is filed under the name Mycobacterium sp. RNAcentral describes it as "bacterial SSU rRNA". It matches the Rfam family "Bacterial small subunit ribosomal RNA", at positions 107 to 928 of the family's 1533-position model. The record is from RNAcentral. Lineage: Bacteria; Bacillati; Actinomycetota; Actinomycetes; Mycobacteriales; Mycobacteriaceae.
UGAGUAACACGUGGGCAAUCUGCCCUGCACUUCGGGAUAAGCCUGGGAAACUGGGUCUAAUACCGGAUAGGACCUUUAGACGCAUGUCUUUUGGUGGAAAGCUUUUGCGGUGUGGGAUGGGCCCGCGGCCUAUCAGCUUGUUGGUGGGGUGAUGGCCUACCAAGGCGACGACGGGUAGCCGGCCUGAGAGGGUGUCCGGCCACACUGGGACUGAGAUACGGCCCAGACUCCUACGGGAGGCAGCAGUGGGGAAUAUUGCACAAUGGGCGCAAGCCUGAUGCAGCGACGCCGCGUGGGGGAUGACGGCCUUCGGGUUGUAAACCUCUUUCACCAUCGACGAAGGUUCGGGUUUUCUCGGAUUGACGGUAGGUGGAGAAGAAGCACCGGCCAACUACGUGCCAGCAGCCGCGGUAAUACGUAGGGUGCGAGCGUUGUCCGGAAUUACUGGGCGUAAAGAGCUCGUAGGUGGUUUGUCGCGUUGUUCGUGAAAUCUCACGGCUUAACUGUGAGCGUGCGGGCGAUACGGGCAGACUAGAGUACUGCAGGGGAGACUGGAAUUCCUGGUGUAGCGGUGGAAUGCGCAGAUAUCAGGAGGAACACCGGUGGCGAAGGCGGGUCUCUGGGCAGUAACUGACGCUGAGGAGCGAAAGCGUGGGGAGCGAACAGGAUUAGAUACCCUGGUAGUCCACGCCGUAAACGGUGGGUACUAGGUGUGGGGUUUCCUUCCUUGGGAUCCGUGCCGUAGCUAACGCAUUAAGUACCCCGCCUGGGGGAGUACGGGCCGCAAGGCUAAAACUCAAAGGAAUUUGACGGGGGGCCCGCACAA